This 404-nucleotide ribosomal RNA is filed under the name uncultured bacterium. Its description in RNAcentral is "bacterial SSU rRNA". It matches the Rfam family "Bacterial small subunit ribosomal RNA", at positions 28 to 420 of the family's 1533-position model. The record is from RNAcentral.
GACGAACGCUGGCGGCGUGCUUAACACAUGCAAGUCGAACGAGAAGAGAUGAGAAGCUUGCUUCUUAUCAAUUCGAGUGGCAAACGGGUGAGUAACGCGUAUCCAACCUGCCCAUCACUUGGGAAUAACCUUGCGAAAGUAAGACUAAUGCCCAAUGACAUUUAUAGAAGGCAUCCGAAAUGAAUUAAAGAUUUAUCGGUGAUGGAUGGGGAUGCGUCUGAUUAGCUUGUUGGCGGGGUAACGGCCCACCAAGGCGACGAUCAGUAGGGGUUCUGAGAGGAAGGUCCCCCACAUUGGGACUGAGACACGGUCCAAACUCCGUACGGGAGGCAGCAGUGAGGAAUAUUGGUCAAGUGGGCGAGAGCCUGAACCAGCCAAGUACGCGUGCAGGAUGACGGCCCUAU